RNAcentral lists this ribosomal RNA (432 nucleotides) under uncultured bacterium. RNAcentral describes it as "partial 16S ribosomal RNA". It matches the Rfam family "Bacterial small subunit ribosomal RNA", at positions 29 to 507 of the family's 1533-position model. The record is from RNAcentral.
ACGAACGCUGGCGGCAUGCCUAACACAUGCCAGUCGCACGAGACCUUCGGGUCUAGUGGCGCACGGGUGCGUAACGCGUGGGAAUCUACCCUCAGGUUCGGAAUAACUCAGAGAAAUUUGAGCUAAUACCGGAUGAUGACGUAAGUCCAAAGAUUUAUCGCCUGAGGAUGAGCCCGCGUAGGAUUAGGUAGUUGGUGAGGUAAAGGCUCACCAAGCCGACGAUCCUUAGCUGGUCUGAGAGGAUGAUCAGCCACACUGGGACUGAGACACGGCCCAGACUCCUACGGGAGGCAGCAGUGGGGAAUAUUGGACAAUGGGCGAAAGCCUGAUCCAGCAAUGCCGCGUGAGUGAUGAAGGCCUUAGGGUUGUAAAGCUCUUUUACCCGGGAUGAUAAUGACAGUACCGGGAGAAUAAGCUCCGGCUAACUCCGUG